GGGAGUAGGAGGGCUGCUGACAGUGUACGACACUGAGGAAAGUCCCCUCUCCACCAUGCAGGCGCCCCGAUUCACUUCGGGAGCCCGGAAGGGCUGGCUCUGCUUCAGAAACGAACCAGUGCAGUCGUGUACGAUGAAUCCGCAAGGAGGAGAUUGUCUGUUGCUGGCUGAGACGAGCAACCGCGCCGGAGCAAGUCCAAACAGUUCCGCUGACCAGCAUGAGCGAGGAACGGGUAGGAUGCUAAGUUGAAUGCAGCCAACUGAAAGGUCAACAGAAAGGGGCUUACUCCCUACUCCC
Molecule: RNase P RNA, 298 nt
Filed under: Candidatus Poseidoniaceae archaeon
Lineage: Archaea; Methanobacteriati; Thermoplasmatota; Candidatus Poseidoniia; Candidatus Poseidoniales; Candidatus Poseidoniaceae
Also listed under: 1 other name
Description: RNase P RNA component
Rfam family: Archaeal RNase P
About the family: Ribonuclease P (RNase P) is a ubiquitous endoribonuclease, found in archaea, bacteria and eukarya as well as chloroplasts and mitochondria. Its best characterised activity is the generation of mature 5'-ends of tRNAs by cleaving the 5'-leader elements of precursor-tRNAs.
Source: RNAcentral